Molecule: long non-coding RNA, 274 nt
Filed under: Elaeis guineensis (African oil palm)
Lineage: Eukaryota; Viridiplantae; Streptophyta; Magnoliopsida; Arecales; Arecaceae
Description: long non-coding RNA (EGUI_LNC044281)
Source: RNAcentral
GCAUUCAUAAAAGAGAGGGAAAAGAGAUGAGAGAGAGAUUAAGAAUAAAAAUGAUUCUAUUCACACUGUAAUUAGAUUAUAUCACAUAUAUUUAUAUGUGUACAAAUUGGUCUAACCCAAGACCAAACCCAAACAACUCCCAUGGCUAAUCAACAUGUGAUUGCACUCAUCCAAGUCUAUGUACACCCAUAUCUUGCAUGCUCUCACCCUUCUUGGGUCCAUACCUAGUCCAAAAGUAGAUUAGCCCCUUAAGGUCUAUGUCUCCUGGGUCUCG